RNAcentral lists this ribosomal RNA (377 nucleotides) under uncultured organism. Its description in RNAcentral is "bacterial SSU rRNA". It matches the Rfam family "Bacterial small subunit ribosomal RNA", at positions 526 to 896 of the family's 1533-position model. The record is from RNAcentral.
CAGAGGAGCCAAGCGUUGUCCGGAUUGACUGGGCGUAAAGCGCACGCAGGCGGACGCGCGCGUGGGGUGUGAAAUCUGGCCGCUUAACGGCCAGGCGCCAUCCCAUACGGCGCGUCUGGAGUGAUGCAGAGGUCGGUGGAAUUGCCGGUGUAGUGGUGAAAUGCGUAGAGAUCGGCAGGAACACCCAGGGGGAAACCAGCCGACUGGGCAUCGACUGACGCUGAGGUGCGAGAGCGUGGGGAGCGAACCGGAUUAGAUACCCGGGUAGUCCACGCCGUAAACGAUGGCCACUCGGCCUUUGGAGGCGGAAUCUCCGUCUUUGGGGGCCUUAGCUAACGCGGGAAGUGGCCCGCCUGGGAACUACGAGCGCAAGCUUA